AUGGAUCAGGAGCUGAUCGAGCACCUUGAGGCCAAAGUGAGUGCUGACAGCGCGAGAUUUCAGUCUCUCAUCGAUUUGUUCAUACCAACCAUCGACAGCGAGCACGGCAUAUGCUACACCCAACCUGAGAAACUUCCAAGUAUCACACUGAGUGGCCUAAGGAAGCAUUUCUUCCAGUGCAAUUCCAGGGCGUUCAAAAGGGGCACGUGGACGCGUUGCAAGAUACAGUCGGAGUGCGGCAUGCACGCGAUGUGGCACAAGACCGGCAAUACCUUGCUGGUGAUGGUCAACGGCCGGCAGACGGGCAGCAAAAAAGGUUCUGGUGCUGCACACCAACAAGAACUUCGACCAGCAGAGGACCAACUGGGUGAUGCACCAGUACCACCUCGGGGACCUGGAGCAAGAGAAGGAGCGGGAGCUGGUCCUCUACAAGAUUUUCUACCAGACGAACACUAG
Molecule: ribosomal RNA, 456 nt
Filed under: Triticum aestivum (bread wheat)
Lineage: Eukaryota; Viridiplantae; Streptophyta; Magnoliopsida; Poales; Poaceae
Description: partial small subunit ribosomal RNA
Source: RNAcentral